UACGUAGGUGGCAAGCGUUGUCCGGAAUUAUUGGGCGUAAAGCGCGCGCAGGCGGUCCUUUAAGUCUGAUAUGAAAGCCCACGGCUCAACCGUGGAGGGUCAUUGGAAACUGGGGGACUUGAGUGCAGAAGAGGAAAGCGGAAUUCCACGUGUAGCGGUGAAAUGCGUAGAGAUGUGGAGGAACACCAGUGGCGAAGGCGGCUUUCUGGUCUGUAACUGACGCUGAGGCGCGAAAGCGUGGGGAGCAAACAGG
RNAcentral lists this ribosomal RNA (253 nucleotides) under uncultured bacterium. RNAcentral's name for it is "partial 16S ribosomal RNA". It matches the Rfam family "Bacterial small subunit ribosomal RNA", at positions 524 to 776 of the family's 1533-position model. The record is from RNAcentral.